The submitters of this non-coding RNA (208 nucleotides) gave its source as unclassified sequences. The record is from Rfam.
UUCAUUCGGGUCUGUGGUUGAAAGUCGAUGCCAGUCGCAGGCAAAGCGAUCCACGUAAUCCGGCCAAAGCGCCGGGGAGCAUGGUGCGGCUUAGAAGUAAGUCCGUCCAGAAGACCAUUCUGAGAGGGUUAGUAGUGGGGCACUGAGGUGUAUGAGCGAACGCUCCGGGCGGCGAGUGUGGGGUCAAAGACCAGGUCAGCCGGAAGUU